GUAAAUCCUCGAGUUAGCCCCCAUGGGUGCUUAUUCAUUUUUGAUAUUUUUUGUAUGGGGGCUUAUUCCAGGUGGGUUCUUCGACUUAUACGAGGGGAGGGGCUUAUAAAAUUAUUGAAGACAUUAAGAAGAUAUUAUUAAAAGAUUUCGUUUAUUUUAGUAGUAAUUUUUUAUGCGCAUUUAAUCAAUUAUUACCAAAAGUAUGAAUUUUUGCGGUACUUAAGAAAAAGCGCCAAAGGCAACCUUAGAUGGCAAAAACCAGCAAACUGAGGGGUCCGAUUCGAGCAUUAACGGCAGCAGUGGGGGCUUAUUAAUAAUUUGUAGUUCUAGGGUGGGGGCCAAUUCGAGGAUUUAGUGAGAUUAUCAUGACCCCAUUCGAGCACGGGCCCCAAAAAUGUGCCCCUCCUAAGCCCUCUUUUAAGUCGCAAACUGUGGUCCUGCUGCUACCCUCUAACAAGUCCAACACUGUGCAUUUUCUGUUUCAUUUGUCAAAAAAUUCCUUAUAAAAAACCUCUCCAGCCUGCGAGUGCACCCGCUGGAGACGUCAAGAGAGGAGCUGUGUCUCGUUCUGCUUGCACUGGUAAACUAGUAACUAGCUAGCGUGCACUAGCAUAGCGUGACCAUUUGGGCAAAUUAGCGGACGGGAAGAACAAUUGUUUGGAAGACAAUAGGUAGUCAAGUGACAUGUCGUAUUUUUACAUUGUCACAGGAUGUGAAAGAUUUUCAAAACAACGGGAAUUUGCUUGAAUGCACAAAGGGAGUCAAACUCGAAUUUGCUCCGCGUGUACAAACCCCCGUUCACACUUCUGGCGCGCAAAACAUCAGUUGGUUGUAACAACACCAACAGCAUUAGACUUAUCAGGUCCUUUCCCGCCCCAAAAUUAAUUUUGAUUGAUUGAUCAAAUUAUUUUUCGAAUGACAUGCCGAUUUUGAUAUGUUUUAAAGGGUGUUCAGCGGCUUAAUGGCUUGUUCUUAGGGUGUUCUUGGGGUGUUCUUGGGGUGUUCAGCCUGUUCUUGGAGUGUUCAGUCUUUUAGAAACGACGACUUCAAUAGAUGAGGUGGGUCAAAGAUGGUAAAAUAUUUUAUAUCCUACAUUUCUAAGAAUGGCCUAUCAACAAAAACUGCCAGUGAUUCAUAAAAUCGCAAAAAGUUGGAUCCCUGAUCACUAACUGUUGCAAGAGCAUUCAAGCCCAUUGACUCUAACUGCAAAUUUUUUUCUUCCAUAAUAACCUUUGAAAUAUCCUUGUUGCAAGAUUCAUUCACUAAAUAAUAAAAUACUGGUUGUUUCCAGCCUUCAACAAAACCACGAGCCAUAAAAACCAAAGCAGAGUUGGCAACAAGAUUUGACUUCUUACCUUAACCAAGAUCUACAAAAGGAAUAAUGCAUUCACUUUUUUAAAACAAAUUUGACUUCAAAGAAAUUUCAUCCAUUAAGGGUGUUCUAUGCGUUCAAAUUCAUUAGCAACCAAACAUUUUGUGAUUUUGUGAAAAGUGGUUUAUCUUGGGUAAAUUUAAUAUAGAAUUCGAUUCUAAAACCAUUGCAAUAUUGAUUCAUUUUCAAGGUUUUCAUUGGUUUCUGGAUGCUACUUGUUUCUGAACUCCAUAGCAAUCACUGUCGUUGUUGUUGCUAUGGGUGAAAAACUGCUAUAUUUUCCCCCAGAGUCCGAUUUUUUAUUCUAAUUCGUGAUAUCCUUGUGGUAGUGCCUUCACUCAUUACGAGGCCAGUUUUAAAUGCAACUCAAUGGUGCUUAUAGGAAGAAAAUUGUUCUUAGGCCAACAUUUUGUGAUGCCAUAUCAUACUAAAUGAUUUCCGAAACAAUACACCAUGGCACCAGUGAAAUCUCGAGCUGUUUCGUCAGCGAAGGCAAAAAAGAAGAGAAAAGGAUUUAGGGAUGUUCAGAAACAGUUUGUAAACUGUGGAAAUGGGGGCAAUCAGACUGCUACAACUACAAGGUCUGCUGAUGAUGAUCACGUAGCAUCCAGUGGUCAGUAUGAUGAUUCAAGUAAUGUUGGCAUUACUGCCACUUAAAAAAAUUUCUAAACAUUAGAAUUCAAAAGAAUCACUUUAGAAGGGCAUGAUGACAUCCUUUCACAAUGACCAGAACAGCAGAUUUGGGUCUAAACACAAGUUCCACAAGUUCAAGUACUGUUCAUACUAAAGGGUAUGCUCUAAUCGAUCUUGACCUUCUUGCCAGUUUUAUCAAGAACAAUUUGACAUGUAAGCGAUGCCUCAGUAGAAGGCCAUCUUUGGUAAUGCUCAGUAGCAAGAAGAAAAGAUAUGGUUUGGCAAUAAAUUUUGGUGUUGAGUGCAGCAAUUGUUCAAACAAGAUACAAUUUGAGAGUAGCAAAAAUUUGGCUGGUAGGUCCUUUGAUGUUAAUCGAAGGUCAGUUUUGGCAAUAAACAACUUGAAAGGGGGCAAACAAACCCUUGCUAAACUUUGUUGUACCAUGAACCUGCCACCACCAGUGUCUUCAAAUGCUUUCAAUUAUCACCUUAGCAAAUGCUCUAAAGCAGCUUGUACUGCAGCUGAGAAGAUCAUGAUUGAUGUUUCCAUUCGAUUAAAAGCAGUCAUGAAAUCCAAAAAUCCUGACCUUAGGGUUGAUGAUGUUGGUGGUGCUAUCCCUGUUUCAGUGUCUGUGGAUGGAAACCGGCAGAAAUGAGGCUACUCUUCCAAACUUGGUGUGGUUUUUGUCAUUGGUAUCAUUGUCGAGACAGGUUAAAUCUUGGGUUAUGAGGUACGGUCCUUAUUCUGCCAAGAAUGCAAUGUUAAUGAAAGAAAAAAAGAAAAAACCAGGCAAUUAAUAGAUUGGAAGGAGAAUCAUAGAGAAAACUGCUUGAUAAAUUAUAGUGGCUCAUCAGGAGGAGUUGGUAGUGAAGGUGCUGUUAGGAAUUUGACAGAUCAAUUGCUAGAAGAGGGCUAAAAUACACAAUGUUUGGAGACAGCAGUACUUUUCAAGUAGUAAGUCAACCGAUGAAAAAAAGUAUGGGUCAAGAUAUGAUGUAAAGAAAGAGGAAUGCCUUGGACACAUUCAAAAACGAAUGGGUAAUUCUCUGAGAACUUUACUCGGGACAUGAAAGGCAAGAAGCUUGAUGAUGGAAAGACUGUUGGUGGUGCAGGACGCCUUCAAAAAACAAAAUUGAUGCACUUCAAAGGUAUUAUGGCAAAGCCAUCAGAGAGAACACCGAUGCCUCUAUAGCAGUAAUGCGAGAUGCCAUUUGGGCAAUCUUCUUUCAUUUUAUUAAGAAUGACCAAUUAUGCUCAGAUGAGCAGCAUACAUUUUGUCCGCAAGGGAAAAACUCUUGGUGCCAGUAUGUAAAGAACAAGUUGCUUGGCACAAAAAGAUAUGAUAAUUCCGAGAGAUUGCCACCUGUCUUUUCUGAAUGCUUGAGACUAAUUUUUGAGAAGCUCACAGCUGAAGAGUUACUUAGUAGAUGUCAAAUGGGCAAUUUUGGUCAAAGGUCAGUUGGGACAUACAAUACACAUUGAGGAAGCAGAAAUAUUCCAAACCCCGCUCUCAGCAGUUUUCAAACAUCUAACGUCAGUGGCACAUGAAUUUCUCACAAAGCCAGGAAGCCAAGCCAUGGAAGUGGUCAAAUGAUAGAAAAGACAAGAUGCAAUGAGGCUUGAUUUCAAAGGGGGGAGCUAUGUAACGACACAGGGUUCGCUUACAGACAGUAUCACGUGACAAUUGCACCAUUGCGCUGUGAUUGCAUCAGCGUCUGUAAAUAUGUUUUUUUGUAUUACGUAAUUAUUAUUUUUGGGUUGUUUCAUAAGUUAGGAGUAAUCUUGUUGAAAGUUUUGCCGUACUGUCGCUAGUUUUGUCGUGCCUGUUAAAGCCGUGUCGUUACUUGUCGAACUUUUUGUUAGCCGUUGGUCGUAUCAUUGCUGUAAGAGAACAAUUUUGAUUUUAUCUACCGUUGCCGUAUCUUUGAGCAUUUCUGCCUACAAAGAACUCACGUUUAUAAAACCCACCUUUCAAGAGGUUUUACACAAGGGCUUGGUGGCCUAUAACCAGAUGGUAUGUGGGUGGGUUUGUGAUGUUGUUUCGAAGAAAAUUGAGAGGAAAUGCCUUGUGAAAGCAAAGGUAAGUAGUUUUAGGCCCAGUAGGUCAUUCAUUCAUUUCAUAUUUGAUUCUCCUUUCUGAGAUACUUUUUUGCGUUUUCCAUCAGUGAGUAAUCUAUUUGUUCUGCUGAAAGUUGAAAUAGCAUUCUUGUUUAGUUAUUAAUUACAGGGGUCUUUUAUUUUAACUCUCUUUAAUUUUUGCAGGUCCUGCAUUCUCAGAAGUUAAGUGAGAAGCCAUUGCAGCCAUGGGUUGUUGCAGAGAUGGGUGGUAGAAUUUUGAGUUGCCAAUGUGUUGCUGGACUAGGAGAAACUUGUACACAUGUUGCUGCCCUAUUAUUUUCAAUUGAAGCAAUGGUCAAAAUGAGAUUCAAAGACUGUAACCCAAGGAAGAGCCUAUUGGCUUCUUCCAAGUGCUAUGAAGAAAGUAGAGUAUAAAGAAUGUAGAGUAUAAAGCAAGCUUUUUGGAAGACAUUGGCCAAGAUUUUGCGUCGGCCUACCUUGACGAGCCACUGGCUGGUGAGGAAUACAUGCGUCGGUUCAAUCAAGAAACAGCAGAAAGAGUGCAGAAAGAAGAAAAAUUAAAAAAAAGAUUUGAAAAUGCCAUCGAUCUAGAGAAUUUUGAUAUUCUGCCUCAAAAAAUGGUGCUUGAAGCAAGCUGCUGACAAAUAUAAGAUAAGAGCAGGACAAAAGUAUGACAAAUCAGGAAAGGAAGAAAGGUCUGUACAGUUUAGGGAUACAGAAUUCCAUAAAAAUAAUAAGUGUUUAUUAAAAAAACAAAUAAAAAUGCACAAAUUAUGUUACAAUGUGAAAAUGUAUUACAAGUAUUUAUCUUCAGUCGACUCUGUUAACACAAUGAAUACUGAAUUAAGCAUGUUUUUACCUUGAUCAUGUACAACAAGGGGGCUUUUAAUAAACAAAUAAAACGCACUAUAACAAUUUCUCCAUAACAUGAUUACAAGGCUCUUAUGCAAGAGUGUAAUACAAUCUUGUGACAAUGAACAAUUAAUAUUGUUUUGUAUUUUAUAAUGAUUCUACAUCCAAUAUCUCAAACAGAUUUAUUUUUAUCUAGGUUGCUGACAGUGGCGGCUUGGGGCGGUAUUACUGUUAUUAGUCUAAUAGCAAUUCUUUUCCAGCAGAAAGUUUUCUUGACAGAAUAUUUCUUUAUCAUUUACAAAGCACGUCCGAAAUCAAAAACCGAAUUGUUUCCGCUAAUUCCUUUCAAGUAGACAGACACCUCACAUGCCAUUCGUGACGUACUGCAUAAAGGCGGCUGAUGCCAAUUGCCGCAACCACUACCCAGGAAUGUUGCUAUGCUUAUGUCAAACAGACGCCUCACGCGAUACUGAAUCACGCUAUAAAAGUGGCCCUGCUAUUCGCCGACCCAUCUCUUUCUCUGUUCUCAGAUAUUUUCUCUGCUUUCCUCACAAAGACAAUUAACACACCAACAACGACUUCGUUUGAAAGCUGAUGGUCGACCAUGUCCAAAGGUGACUUUAAAAAACCGAUCCUCUGAUGUUGUGUAUGAAAAUUUUUCUUAGAUAUGCAGUGAUCAAGAAAAAAAUACUUACUUCUGUUGGCCAUGCUUAGUGAUGGGAGAUCUUUCAAGAAUGAAGAAACUUUCAUUUGUUCAAGAGCAUGGUUUUCAAUCCUCUGGCUCUAACCUUUAGAAUAUCGCUAUCUGACACCAGGCCUCAAAAGUUCAUAUAGCAACUCACGUGACCUAUAAUGUUUUGGGUAACACUGACGUUGCGAGUGCAUUGGACGAAGAAAGACAAAGGCAAAUUACGCAACAUAAUAAUAAUGCCACACUCUAUGCCCGUAUGCUUGAAAAUCACAUCAACGUGAUAAUUUUCUUAGCAGGGCAAGGACUUGCCUUUUGGGGGCACGACGAAUCAUCCCUGUCAUCUAAUAGAGGAAAUUUUAUUGAAUUAUUGGAACUUAUUGGAAAAUACAGCCAGGAUCUGAGAGAAUUCUUAACAAAGCAGCAUGUUACUUACACAGCACAUGAGCCUCAGAACGAUUUGAUUAAGUGUAUUUACCAAGAGGUCCGAGCAGAAAUUCAACGACGAAUUGAUAACUCAGAAUUUCUGGCUGUUAUGAUGGAUGAUACCAGUGACACCAGCAACAUUGAGCAAUCAGCAGUCUCAAUUCGACUUAUUUAUGAUGGAAAAGUAGAGGAGCACUUACUGGCAAUGGUAAACUCUUCAGGCAAUCAAUCAGCAGACGGACUGAGGGCAAUUGUCAUGGAAACAUUGAAAAGCUACAACAUUACACCAGAAAACUGUGCGGAAAAACUUGUCGGUCAAUCCUAUGAUGGAGCCCCAUUCAUGAGUGGUGAAUUGAGUGGGGUGCAAAAGCAAAUACAGGAUAUAUUCCCUUUUGCAUACUACAACCACUGCGUCGCACAUAGA
Non-coding RNA from Rhopilema esculentum, 6475 nucleotides. NCBI's taxonomy places the organism in Eukaryota, Metazoa, Cnidaria, Scyphozoa, Rhizostomeae, Rhizostomatidae. The record is from RefSeq and is a predicted model, not a curated record.